This 430-nucleotide ribosomal RNA is filed under the name uncultured bacterium. RNAcentral describes it as "partial 16S ribosomal RNA". It matches the Rfam family "Bacterial small subunit ribosomal RNA", at positions 31 to 507 of the family's 1533-position model. The record is from RNAcentral.
GAACGCUGGCGGCCUGCCUAACACAUGCAAGUCGAACGAGACCUUCGGGUCUAGUGGCGCACGGGUGCGUAACGCGUGGGAACCUGCCCUUAGGUUCGGAAUAACUCCCCGAAAGGGGUGCUAAUACCGGAUAAUGUCUUCGGACCAAAGAUUUAUCGCCUUUGGAUGGGCCCGCGUUGGAUUAGCUAGUUGGUAGGGUAAAAGCCUACCAAGGCGACGAUCCAUAGCUGGUCUGAGAGGAUGAUCAGCCACACUGGGACUGAGACACGGCCCAGACUCCUACGGGAGGCAGCAGUGGGGAAUAUUGGACAAUGGGCGAAAGCCUGAUCCAGCAAUGCCGCGUGAGUGAUGAAGGCCUUAGGGUUGUAAAGCUCUUUUACCCGGGAUGAUAAUGACAGUACCGGGAGAAUAAGCUCCGGCUAACUCCGUG